UACCGCUUUCCUUAUCUAUCUAUCGAUUAUCUACUUUUGCCCGCUUGGACCUAGUGGGGAGAUCGGCGGAGUCGGCGGCCGAACCCACUGGGAACUAAGGAAGUUAGUUCUCACCCCCAUUUUACUACAGGGCCGAGCACGAGGUCACACGGCGAGGAUCGCGGUAAGGGCCUAGCGCCCUAGUUGCACUAGCUAUCCACCCCUUUUGCAUUAGCUCUACCUUUUAUUAUGUUUGAGAGUAGAUGAUGUAUAGGGUGAGGUAUGAGUG
RNAcentral lists this long non-coding RNA (268 nucleotides) under Ananas comosus (pineapple). RNAcentral's name for it is "long non-coding RNA (ACOM_LNC038591)". The record is from RNAcentral. Lineage: Eukaryota; Viridiplantae; Streptophyta; Magnoliopsida; Poales; Bromeliaceae.